GUUCUUCUUUGGCAGUACAUGUACUAAAAUUGAAAUGAUACAGAGAAGAUUAGUUUGGUCUCUGUGCAAGGAUGCGGCACAAAUUCGUGAAGUGUUUCAUACUUUU
This is a non-coding RNA of Octopus bimaculoides (California two-spot octopus), 106 nucleotides long. Lineage: Eukaryota; Metazoa; Mollusca; Cephalopoda; Octopoda; Octopodidae. The record is from Rfam.